GGAGUUGUAACUCAGUGGUAGAGGGCUUGUCUUGCACAUAGGAGGCACUGGGUUUAAUCCUCAGCACCA
Non-coding RNA from Ictidomys tridecemlineatus (thirteen-lined ground squirrel), 69 nucleotides. The record is from Rfam. Lineage: Eukaryota; Metazoa; Chordata; Mammalia; Rodentia; Sciuridae.